UAAACACAGGUCUGCUAGCAACAAUAUGAUAAGUACUUCAUCGUACCUCUUUGUCAUUUUCAGACAGUCUUCCAGGCAUUAAUGGCCAUAUCUCUGAUUUUCUUAGCACCAGAACUCUGCCCGAGUACUUUCUUUAGUUUUCAUAUUCCAACUUGACAUACAUCCGAUAUGAACUCCUUCCUCUUAUUGAAACGCUGGGGUCUUUCCUCAGAUACCUGUUGGUUGAUGAACUCUGAGAUUUUUGCUCUCGUGUCUCCGGCCCUUACGAAGUUUCACGUUAAAGCUG
Molecule: unclassified non-coding RNA, 286 nt
Filed under: Hevea brasiliensis (rubber tree)
Lineage: Eukaryota; Viridiplantae; Streptophyta; Magnoliopsida; Malpighiales; Euphorbiaceae
Source: RNAcentral